AGUGAACGCUGGCGGUAGGCCUAACACAUGCAAGUCGAACGGCAGCACAGUAAGAGCUUGCUCUUACGGGUGGCGAGUGGCGGACGGGUGAGGAAUACAUCGGAAUCUACUUUUUCGUGGGGGAUAACGUAGGGAAACUUACGCUAAUACCGCAUACGACCUACGGGUGAAAGCAGGGGAUCUUCGGACCUUGCGCGAUUGAAUGAGCCGAUGUCGGAUUAGCUAGUUGGCGGGGUAAAGGCCCACCAAGGCGACGAUCCGUAGCCGGUCUGAGAGGAUGAUCGGCCGCACGAGAACUGAGACACGGUCAAGGCUCCUACGGGAGGCAGCAGUGGGGAAUAUUGGACAAUGGUCGCAAGCCUGAUCCAGCCAUCCCGCGUGGGUGAAGAAGGCCUUCGGGUUGUAAAGCCCUUUUGUUGGGAAAGAAAAGCAGCAGGUUAAUACCCCGCUGUUCUGACGGUACCCAAAGAAUAAGCACCGGCUAACUUCGUG
Molecule: ribosomal RNA, 492 nt
Filed under: uncultured bacterium
Lineage: Bacteria
Description: partial 16S ribosomal RNA
Rfam family: Bacterial small subunit ribosomal RNA
Source: RNAcentral